This is an RNA transcript of Cucurbita moschata (crookneck pumpkin), 1383 nucleotides long. It is a transcript of the gene named trihelix transcription factor ASR3-like, with no coding region annotated. The transcript has 5 exons. NCBI's taxonomy places the organism in Eukaryota, Viridiplantae, Streptophyta, Magnoliopsida, Cucurbitales, Cucurbitaceae. The record is from RefSeq and is a predicted model, not a curated record.
CGAAGAUUGUGCAUCGAAGCGAGCGAGUGGGCAAUGCUGAAGGUUCUGGCUCCUUCACUUCAUCUGAAAUUGGUAAGAUGUUGCAUUAUAGGUAAAGGAAUUUGGAUUGAAAUAGAGAGCUGAAGAAUUUCUAAACUAAAAAACGAAGAAAAUUUUAGUACGAAAUGAAGGAGGAGGACGGCAAACGUGGAACGGAGGUUUCAGGUUCUCGUCGGACGCGGUCUCGUAUAGCGCCGGAUUGGACAGCGGCGGAUUGCCUCGUUCUUGUUAAUGUGAUUGCAGCUGUGGAGGCCGAUUGUUGGAAAGCUUUGUCUAGCUUUCAGAAAUGGAAAAUUGUUGCAGAGAACUGCACGUCUUUGGAUGUGGCUCGGAACUCGAAUCAGUGCAGGAGGAAGUGGGACUGUUUGCUGAUUGAACAUGAUGUUAUCAAGCAAUGGGAGUUAGAGAUGCCGGAUGAUGAUUCGUAUUGGUGUUUGGAAAGUGGAAGGAGAAAGGAAUUGGGACUUCCUGAUAACUUUGACGAGGAGGUGUUCAAAGCAAUUGAUAAUGUUGUAUCGAUGAGGGCGAAUCAGUCGGAUACGGAGCCUGAUAGCGAUCCUGAGGCUGCGGUUGAGAAGGUAGAUGAAGCUGCAGAGCCUGGCCCUAAAAGGCAAAGACGUUGUUCAAUGUCUACAAGAAAUCAAUCUCUUGAGAAAUCUGUAAAAUGUGAAGAAGAAGACGAAGAACCUCAGGUGAGCUCUCCGGAAGUAGAGCGUCGUGGAUGCUACAUCAAAAGCCAUGGAGAAAAGGCGACCGAUAGCACCGAACCCGAAGAGCAAACGAUGGCGAAGAAAUUGCUUGAAACUGCAGAAAAAGUUCAAGCAAUUGUGUCUGAGAAUGCAGAAUAUGCAACGUCCGACGAAAAAAACGACAACUACAACGUCCGAACUAAUUCCAUUAGGCAUCAAGGGAGCAAGCUUAUCAAAUGUCUUGAAGAUUUUCUCAACACCAUUAAUGAUCUCCAUAGCCUGCUCGAAGAUCAAGAGUAACUCUCAUUUUCCAUUUCGCUGUUCGUUAAGUCACCAAGUGAACUCAUCGGAGUUUUGAAUCUUCCCAUCUCUCGUCCUACAGACAAAAUUCCAAGCUGACCAUUCGAGCAACAACAGCAAAAGGUUGCCGACAUUUUCCAGACCACCUCUCGGACAUUGCUUCACAACAGGAAAGAAGUAAGCUACGUCUGAGUUAAAUUUGGAGAUGAAUGUCUUCUUUCGUUUCUCUGACGGUGAAGUAAGACUAAGCUUAUAAGUUUAUUAUCCUAGGUCGGAACAAGUUAUAGGAUAGGAUUCUCUUUUUUACGUUUUCAUGUCCCUCUCGUGUGGCGACAUGGGGCGAGAAAAAAAAGGA